CCUACGGGAGGCAGCAGUGGGGAAUAUUGGGCAAUGGAGGAAACUCUGACCCAGCGACGCCGCGUGCGGGAUGAAGGCCUUCGGGUUGUAAACCGCUUUCAGCAGGGAAGAAGCGAAAGUGACGGUACCUGCAGAAGAAGCACCGGCUAACUAUGUGCCAGCAGCCGCGGUAAUACAUAGGGUGCAAGCGUUGUCCGGAAUUAUUGGGCGUAAAGAGCUCGUAGGUGGUUCGUCACGUCGGAUGUGAAAAUCUGGGGCUUAACCCCAGACCUGCAUUCGAUACGGGCGAGCUUGAGUAUGGUAGGGGAGUCUGGAAUUCCUGGUGUAGCGGUGGAAUGCGCAGAUAUCAGGAGGAACACCAAUGGCGAAGGCAGGACUCUGGGCCAUUACUGACACUGAGGAGCGAAAGCGUGGGGAGCGAACAGGAUUAGAUACCCUGGUAGUCCACGCCGUAAACGGUGGGCACUAGUUGUGGGGACCUUCCACGGUCUCUGCGACGCNGCUACGCAUAGUGCCGCCGCGGGAGGUACGAGCGCGAGAAGUAAACGUACGAAGAAGUAGAGGCGUGNGAGNGCGACGGACGACGACGAGGGAGGAGG
RNAcentral lists this ribosomal RNA (599 nucleotides) under uncultured bacterium. RNAcentral's name for it is "bacterial SSU rRNA". The stretch from base 1 to 519 matches the Rfam family "Bacterial small subunit ribosomal RNA", at positions 338 to 873 of the family's 1533-position model. The record is from RNAcentral.